UUUUCUAUCUUUCUCUUUAACACCAAAAGACCCAAAACCUAAAAAUUUUCUCCCUCUCUUCUCCUCCCCCCUCUCUCUGCCUCCAUCUUCUCUCUCCCUUUCCCGGCAGCCGCCUCCCCCUCCCGUCGCUCCUAUCUCUCCCCAGCGACCCCCCUCCUUCUCUCCUCUUCUUCCCCUCUUUCUCCCUCCAUUCUUAUCUUCCAUCCGCCCUUUACUCUUCUUUCGCUCUUCCCUCUCUCUUGAGCAGCCGUCGCUCCUCCUCCCUUCGCUCUCCCCGGUGACCCCCUCCUUCUCUCCUCUUCUCCCUCUCGUUUUGCUCUUCUCUCCCUUUCCCUCUUCUUCCCCUCUUUAUCCCUCCGUUCUUCUCCUCUCUCUGCCUCCCUCUUCUCUUCUCCCCCUCUUUCCCUCCUCUCUCCCCUCCCGUCUCUUCUCUUCCCCUUCCUCUUCUCCUUUCUCUUUUUUCUCAGGUGCCAGCAAUUGUAGCAGUGAUACAGCAGCAGCCUACGAGAGAAACAGAAACACCACCAGCAAAAAAACAAUGAGCUCCGACGGAGCCUCCUCUAUGAGAUUUCGAAGUUAUUUAAAACUGAUUUGUUACAGUUCCGUCCAGGUUUUGAAAUUGAAGGUUCAAGAUGUUGAAGAAUUGCUUAGAAGAAAUUUCCAGACAAGUUUAUUAUUGAAGUUUAUGUUAAUAUUGUAUUUAUUUCUUAGACUUGUAAUGUUUUGUAUUACGCUAACUCUAAAACACUCUCAUAAAUAAAAUAUUUGAGGGAUCACCUAAGGGGAAGGGAAUUUACAUGCUACGUGUUA
This is a long non-coding RNA of Solanum pennellii, 810 nucleotides long. RefSeq lists it as uncharacterized. Lineage: Eukaryota; Viridiplantae; Streptophyta; Magnoliopsida; Solanales; Solanaceae. The record is from RefSeq and is a predicted model, not a curated record. The transcript is spliced from 2 exons.